This 463-nucleotide ribosomal RNA is filed under the name uncultured bacterium. RNAcentral describes it as "partial 16S ribosomal RNA". It matches the Rfam family "Bacterial small subunit ribosomal RNA", at positions 28 to 507 of the family's 1533-position model. The record is from RNAcentral.
GAUGAACGCUGACAGAAUGCUUAACACAUGCAAGUCUUUGGCGAAGCUGUGCUUGCACAGCCUAGCCAAGGCGGACGGGUGAGUAACGCGUAAGGAACUUGCCCUGCAGUCAGGGAUAACAGACGGGAACGACUGAUAAGACCUGGUAAAGUCAGGCGGACUCAUGUCCAGCCUGAUGAAAAGAGAUGCUGCAGGAGAGCCUUGCGUCCUAUUAGCUUGUUGGUGGGGUAACGGCCCACCAAGGCGAUGAUAGGUAGCCGGCCUGAGAGGGUGGACGGCCACCAGGGGACUGAGAUCCGGCCCUUACUCCUACGGGAGGCAGCAGUGGGGAAUAUUGGACGAUGGGGGCCCCCCUGAUCCAGCAAUUCUGUGUGCACGAUGAAGGUUUUCGGAUUGUAAAGUGCUUUCAGCAGGGAAGAAAAAAAUGACGGUACCUGCAGAAGAAGCGACGGCUAACUACGUG